GGAGAGGUGACCGAGUGGCUUAAGGUGCACGACUGGAAAUCGUGUGUAGGGGAAACUCUACCGAGGGUUCGAAUCCCUCCCUCUCCGCCA
This 90-nucleotide transfer RNA is filed under the name Acidobacteriota bacterium. RNAcentral's name for it is "tRNA-Ser". It matches the Rfam family "tRNA". From Rfam's summary of the family: Transfer RNA (tRNA) molecules are approximately 80 nucleotides in length. The record is from RNAcentral. Lineage: Bacteria; Pseudomonadati; Acidobacteriota.